Rhincodon typus (whale shark) is the source of this 238-nucleotide long non-coding RNA. RefSeq lists it as uncharacterized. The record is from RefSeq and is a predicted model, not a curated record. Lineage: Eukaryota; Metazoa; Chordata; Chondrichthyes; Orectolobiformes; Rhincodontidae. The transcript is spliced from 3 exons.
CUGCCGGACAAGUUGGAGCGACCCUCAGACAAAUAGUGAAAUGUCUUGCCAGCGGCAGCAUUCGGAAUACCGAUCCCCUGAAAAAUUGAGAAGCCCCAGUAGAAAAUCUUCGAAGAGGGUCAGUCCGGCACCUGAUUUCAGAACAUGGGCAACAGAGCCAUUGUCUUCAAUUGAAACUGAGUAUAUAAAGAAUCUUCAGCAACAAGUUUGCCUUUUGGAACUAGAAACAAAUUUUCUA